This 1220-nucleotide ribosomal RNA is filed under the name Salegentibacter sp. 2. Its description in RNAcentral is "bacterial SSU rRNA". It matches the Rfam family "Bacterial small subunit ribosomal RNA", at positions 58 to 1327 of the family's 1533-position model. Lineage: Bacteria; Pseudomonadati; Bacteroidota; Flavobacteriia; Flavobacteriales; Flavobacteriaceae. The record is from RNAcentral.
CAAGUCGAAGCGGUAACGCGCCAAACCUUACUACCCGCUGGCACCGGGUGAGUAACGCGUAUGCUUCUGACCUGCCUGGGGUGGGCCAGACAAUUUUGGAUUAAUCCCCCAUAGUAUAUAGUCCUGGCAUAAAAAUUAUGUUAUCUCUUAAGCUUGCAUUAUUGAAUAUGCCUCCCAUUAAUUAGUUGGUGGGUAACUAAUGGCCUACGCGGGAUGGAUCCGGGUCCUGAUAGGGAGACCCCCACACUGUUACUGACUGACAGAGGCCCUCAUACCUACAGGCAGGCAUGAUGAAUAAAUAUUGAAGGUGGGGCAAACCCUGAUCCAUGCCUGCCGCGUGAGUACUGACCUAUGGGUUGUUGACUGCUUUUUCCAUGAGGAAGACUCCCUUCUGGUCGGGAAUUGACGGCUUGACGUAAUAUAGAUCGGCUAACUCCGUGCCUCCGUGCCGGUAAUACCGAGGAUCCGAGCGUUAUCCGCGAAUCAUUGGAUUUACUGGGUCUGUAGGCCGCGCUGAUGGUUUGCGGUGAAAGAUCUGUCGCUUAACGAUCUUAUUGCCGUUGAUACUGUUGGUCUUGCCUCGCUAUAAUGUGGUAGAGAAUGAGUGGAAUUUCCUGUGAAAUGCAUAAAAUAUUACUCAUAUAUACCGAUUGCGAAGGCAGAUCACUAAUAUUGUACUGACGCUGAGGGACGAAAGGUGUGGGGAGCGAACAGAGAUUACAUACUCUGAUACUCCACGCAGUAAACGAUGGUCACUAUGCUGUUCAAACCAAUUGGAUUUUGAGUGGCUAAGCGAAAGUGAUACGUGACCCACCUGGGGACUGCGUUCGCCAGAAUGAAGUCAAGGAAUUGACAGUUGCCCGCGCAGCGGUGGAGCGUGUGGUUUAUGUCUAUGAUCCACGAGGACCUUACCACGUCUUAGAUGUAGUCUGACUUACUUGUAACAGGUAUUUCUUCGGACGAUUACACGUGCUGCAUGGUGCUCGUCAGCUCGUGCGUCACGUGUCAGGUUAGUCGAUACGAUCGCUACCCAUGCUGAUCCCUGCCACUGAUCAGUCAGUACUCUAGCAGACUGCCGUGCAUGCGUGAGCAAACUGAUAACGUCGAUCAUCCGCUACGUCCUGGUCAGCCCGGCUACACUGGUAGGACAGAGGCAUCCAUUGGGCAGUCGACUGACCUUCAAUCGAUCGGAGUCGGAACUCGGAACUCCGGUGGAACUG